AUUGAACGCUGGCGGAAUGCUUUACACAUGCAAGUCGAACGGCAGCACGGGGCAACCUGGUGGCGAGUGGCGAACGGGUGAGUAAUACAUCGGAACGUGCCCAAUCGUGGGGGAUAACGUAGCGAAAGUUACGCUAAUACCGCAUACGAUCUACGGAUGAAAGCGGGGGAUCGCAAGACCUCGCGCGAGUGGAGCGGCCGAUGUCAGAUUAGGUAGUUGGUGGGGUAAAGGCUCACCAAGCCAACGAUCUGUAGCUGGUCUGAGAGGACGACCAGCCACACUGGAACUGAGACACGGUCCAGACUCCUACGGGAGGCAGCAGUGGGGAAUUUUGGACAAUGGGCGCAAGCCUGAUCCAGCCAUUCCGCGUGCAGGAUGAAGGCCUUCGGGUUGUAAACUGCUUUUGUACGGUAACGAAACGGCGAGCUCUAAUACAGUUUGCUAAUGACGGUACCGUAAGAAUAAGCACCGGCUAACUACGUGCCAGCA
RNAcentral lists this ribosomal RNA (489 nucleotides) under uncultured bacterium. RNAcentral describes it as "bacterial SSU rRNA". It matches the Rfam family "Bacterial small subunit ribosomal RNA", at positions 30 to 513 of the family's 1533-position model. The record is from RNAcentral.